UGGGGAAUUUUGGACAAUGGGGGAAACCCUGAUCCAGCCAUCCCGCGUGUGCGAUGAAGGCCUUCGGGUUGUAAAGCACUUUUGGCAGGAAAGAAACGUCAUGGGUUAAUACCCCGUGAAACUGACGGUACCCGCAGAAUAAGCACCGGCUAACUACGUGCCAGCAGCCGCGGUAAUACGUGGGGUGCAAGCGUUAAUCGGAAUUACUGGGCGUAAAGCGUGCGCAGGCGGUUCGGAAAGAAAGAUGUGAAAUCCCAGAGCUCAACUUUGGAUCUGCAUUUUUAACUACCGGGCUAGAGGGUGUCAGAGGGAGGUGGAAUUCCGCGUGUAGCAGUGAAAUGCGUAGAUAUGCGGAGGAACACCGAUGGCGAAGGCAGCCUCCUGGGAUAACACUGACGCUCAUGCACGAAAGCGUGGGGAGCAAACAGG
Molecule: ribosomal RNA, 429 nt
Filed under: Acidobacteriota bacterium
Lineage: Bacteria; Pseudomonadati; Acidobacteriota
Description: Acidobacteria bacterium partial 16S ribosomal RNA
Rfam family: Bacterial small subunit ribosomal RNA
Source: RNAcentral